Molecule: long non-coding RNA, 1158 nt
Filed under: Carassius auratus (goldfish)
Lineage: Eukaryota; Metazoa; Chordata; Actinopteri; Cypriniformes; Cyprinidae
Description: lncRNA (ENSCARG00000007172.1)
Source: RNAcentral
AUGCUUGCUUGCUUGCUUGCACCUUUUCAACCCAGGCUCCUAGCCAUCAGCGUGCUUGCAAGUCAUAAAGAGCUUCAACUUUCCGUGACAGAAUCUUCAAAGCUCACGACGCACAAACGAGAGGACUCGGAAGAAACUUUGUCCACCGUCAAGGCAAGAGCUGUGGAAUCUCUCAAAAUCGCCGGGCAGUCAACCAACCAAUCAAGGCAAAGGGCAUCCCCAGACGUCAUCUACGCAACCGCGAAUCCCCCUUUCCCCUUUCAGCUCAACGCGAGCCAAGGAGACGAAACGACACCGCGGCCAGCAGCACAACCACAAAGACGACGGGUUUGAGCAGCCGAAACUCCUCGCUUCGCUCAUCCACCUGGUAAUCAUGGUUCUCAAACAUCACCUUGAAACGGUCGUCCAUCAGGGUAUUGGCUACGGCCUUGAGAGAAAAACAGAUAAGAGCAGACUGAGACAAGGAGUGAGUGAGUCAACAGGAUUAAAACACUUGACUAAAAUAUUCCAGCAGUGUGGAAAUGCGUCAAAGAAACAUUGCCCUUUUCUUCUUCUUCUUCUUGGUUGAAAGCUCACUUUCUUCCAUGAGUUUCAUGGCCAGUUCCUUGUUGACCUUGGACAGCUUCUGUUAGAGAACACAAGUCGGAGAAUGACGUCAAAAGAGAAUGAGUCAAAGCACUGAUGAUAACAGACGAUGAGAGCCCCAUGUGGAACAAGUGUAUGGACAGAAUGGUGAUCUAGUGUCACCAUUUGAUUUGUGAAAAACUACCAGACACACACUCAGAGAUAUUCACUACAACAUACCAUUAAUACAUGUUUAGUUUAACUUGAGCAAAUUGUGAAAGGAAUAUAUUAUAUAGCAGAAUGUACUUCUCAAAGUAAUAAUUCUAAUUAUAAUAAAAUGAUAAAAGUAAUAUCUGACAAUAUUUCUGACACUAAAAAUAAAAAGGAAAUACGUUUUAAAUGAAAUACACUUUUAUUAAAUAAUUCAUGUUUUAUGAGUUUAUUUGAUUACCACUGGCUUUGAAAACAGACAUGGCAAUGCUUCUGAAACUAAAACAAUUAAUAUUAUUGCAAACAUUUUAAUAAACUAUUUGAGUGAUUAUAUUUUAUGAUUUCAAAUGAUUAUUAAUAUUUUAAUAAAAUAAAAUGGAAAAC